Molecule: ribosomal RNA, 237 nt
Filed under: uncultured bacterium
Lineage: Bacteria
Description: partial 16S ribosomal RNA
Rfam family: Bacterial small subunit ribosomal RNA
Source: RNAcentral
CCGGCACGGGUGAGUAACGCGUAUGCAACUUGCCUAUCAGAGGGGAUAACCCGGCGAAAGUCGGACUAAUACCGCAUGAAGCAGGGAUCCCGCAUGGGAAUAUUUGCUAAAGAUUCAUCGCUGAUAGAUAGGCAUGCGUUCCAUUAGGCAGUUGGCGGGGUAACGGCCCACCAAACCGACGAUGGAUAGGGGUUCUGAGAGGAAGGUCCCCCACAUUGGUACUGAGACACGGACCAA